GGGGAAUGAAGAGGAUCCAAUGAUCCUUAUAUGGGUUACUGUUUCCACAUCCCUAUGUUUCAACUAUAUGAUAGAGAUGGAAGGCAUCAGUCUCAGCACUAUAACUCAGUUUCCAAGCACACUGAGUAUAAUGUGAAGUCCAGGCCUCCGAGACAGCACCACCUCAGUGAACUGAUCGACCUUGUUGCAGUGUUAGAAACAUGAAGACAUCUGAUAAAUGCUGCCACUUCCAGCCUGGCAUUUCUGUUGUUCUGAGUCUUAGUAGGCAGUUCAGAAAAGCAUUCUGCUUGUUCAUCUCCCAUCACCAGUCCUGUGUCUGGUGCUGGAAAUGCACCAUGAUUGGAUACUCACGGCAAUAAGAGCUGUGGAAGCAACAUGCAAGUGGUGCUUUCCAAGAGGGAAGACCAUGAAGGCGCAUCAUCCAUGUGAAGGCUUUGCAUCAGAUGAGAGACAAACUAGAUCAAGUAGCCAGCAUGUCCUGGAGGAACUAACCUGUUGAGUUUGCAUGAGAAAAUCUUUACAGAGGCAGAAGGAGAAUUCUAUUGUUUGAGACCAAAUGGCAUGACAAUAAUGUCAGAGUUGGGUUAACGCUUCCAGCUUGACUUGCCAGCCCGGUGCCCUGCAGCCUGGGCAGGCAGGCACCACUACGAUGAGCAGGUAUGUGUGGAGAAAUUGGAGAAAGGGAGAAGCAGGUUCUUGACUGUGGAGAGAAGCAAACCUGAAGACGGUAUGGCUGAUAUGGGUGGCCUACUGGGGCUGUGAUGAUCAGGUCAGACCAAGGGCUAUGUCUGUUGUCCAUGACCCUACCACAUCUGGGGUCUGUGAUAAUGUCUGUGGCUAAUGUUACCACCAAAAGCUGUGAGCAUGUUUGUGGUCUGGGCUGCUACCUGAGGGCCACCUGAGCCCACAUUGGUCACUGAGAGCCAAACCACCACUGGGGCCAUACUGAACUGAGCAACCUGUGCUGUCACCCGAGGCCCAUGGUGACCUCCACUCCAAGCUGCAGCCAAGGGCUAUGUCUGGGUCUGUGGUCCUAUGUUGAUGUCCGUGGCCUGUGUUACUACUGAGGGACAGGGGAGAGCUGGUCCCGGUGUUGUGGGUGGCCUGAAAAGCUGAGAGGUGGUCUGCCCCUCGCUGACUGCUGAGGCCAAAAAGAUGUAUGCCACUCCCAGGAGAACUGGCCCCUGUGGUGUGAGAGCAGAAGAGUUGGCCCCAAAGGGCGCUGGAGAGCUGGCUUCACCCCAUGCCUGAGCAGGGGGCGAUUCCGGUGGAAGCCCUCACUGACCAACUCAACUACCAGCCAGGCCCACAUCCAGGGCUUUGAGUUUCCCCCUCCCCAAUCUACCUCAUCUAUGAUCUGUUAGGGUGCAUGAAGGGACAGGUCCUGCGGAACCAUAGCCAUAGGAUCUCCACAACUCAAAGCAACAGCAGGAUAUCUGAGAGGAGUUUUUGUGAAUGGUGUGCUAGAAACCAGAGACCUUGAACCAAACCAACAACUCCUUGCAAUGAACAUUUGCAAGUAAAGCUGUUUGAGCAAAAGGGUAUACUGCGUAACACACCACAGCUACUAAGGCCAUUAUGAAAAAUGAGUAUGUGAUGGAGAGGUGGGAAAGACAGAGGAGAGACAGUUUGUUUUUGUUUUUGUUUUUGUUUUGUUUUGUUUUGUUUUGUUUGUUUGUUUUCGUUUUUCAAGACAGGGUUUCUCUAUGUAGCCCUGGCUGGCCUGGAACUUACUUUGUAGACCAGGCUGGCCUCAAACUCACAGAUUCACCUGCCUCUGCCUCCCGAGUGAGUGCUGGGAUUAAAAGUGUGCAUCACCACAGCCAGGCUUGCUUUGCAGGGGGGGGAGGCUACAAAGGCUGGAGGAGGGGGAGGGCAGAUGUGGAAGGACUGGGAAAAGAGUGAGAUUAGGGUGCAUAAUGUGAUAUUCCCAAAGAAUCAAUAAAAGAUUUGUGUUGAUUAAAAACAAUUUUUCAUUCCAGCUGCACUCCAGGGAAAGUGUUCAAUGUCAACCCUGCUCUUCAAACAAUGAGACUGGACCCAGUUCUAGGAGAUCUUGUAUGGAGGUUCCUCAGGAAAAUGGGAAUCAGUCUACCUCAAGAUCCAGCAAUUCCACUCUUAGGCAUAAUACCCAAAGGAUGCACAUUCAUACCACGAGGACAUCUGUCCAACUAUGUUCAUAACAGCAUUAUUUGUAAUAGCCAGAACCUGAAAGCAGCCUAGAUACCCUUCAACAGAAGAUUGGAUAAAGAAAAUGUGGUAAAUUUAUACAAUGGAGUACUACUCGGCAGGACUGAAAUCUUGAAAUUUGCAGGCAAAUGGAUGGAACAAAAAGAAACUAUACUGAGUGACAUAACCCAGACCUAAAAAGAAAAACAUGGUAUGUUCUCACUCAUAAGUAGAUAUUAAACAUAGAGCAAAAGAUAAUCAGCCUACAUACAAUUCACAG
RNAcentral lists this long non-coding RNA (2449 nucleotides) under Cricetulus griseus (Chinese hamster). Its description in RNAcentral is "lncRNA (ENSCGRG00015031854.1)". The record is from RNAcentral. Lineage: Eukaryota; Metazoa; Chordata; Mammalia; Rodentia; Cricetidae.